GACGAACGCUGGCGGCGUGCUUAACACAUGCAAGUCGAACGUAAGGCCCUUCGGGGUACACGAGUGGCGAACGGGUGAGUAACACGUGGGUGAUCUGCCCUGCACUUCGGGAUAAGCCUGGGAAACUGGGUCUAAUACCGGAUAGGACUCCGGACUGCAUGGUCUGGGGUGGAAAGCUUUUGCGGUGUGGAAUGGGCCCGCGGCCUAUCAGCUUGCUGGUGGGGUGAUGGCCUACCAAGGCGACGACGGGUAGCCGGCCUGAGAGGGUGACCGGCCACACUGGGACUGAGAUACGGCCCAGACUCCUACGGGAGGCAGCAGUGGGGAAUAUUGCACAAUGGGCGCAAGCCUGAUGCAGCGACGCCGCGUGAGGGAUGACGGCCUUCGGGUUGUAAACCUCUUUCAGCACCGACGAAGCGCAAGUGACGGUAGGUGCAGAAGAAGGACCGGCCAACUACGUGCCAGCAGCCGCAGUAA
This 477-nucleotide ribosomal RNA is filed under the name uncultured bacterium. RNAcentral describes it as "partial 16S ribosomal RNA". It matches the Rfam family "Bacterial small subunit ribosomal RNA", at positions 28 to 523 of the family's 1533-position model. The record is from RNAcentral.